This 85-nucleotide transfer RNA is filed under the name Felis catus (domestic cat). It matches the Rfam family "tRNA". Rfam says of the family: Transfer RNA (tRNA) molecules are approximately 80 nucleotides in length. Their secondary structure includes four short double-helical elements and three loops (D, anti-codon, and T loops). The record is from Rfam by way of RNAcentral. Lineage: Eukaryota; Metazoa; Chordata; Mammalia; Carnivora; Felidae.
GCCUGGCUGGCUUAGCUGGUUAAACGUCUGACUUCAGCUCAGGUCACAAUCUCAUGGUUUGUGGGUUCAAGCCCCACGUCAGGCU